RNAcentral lists this ribosomal RNA (121 nucleotides) under Echinops telfairi (small Madagascar hedgehog). Lineage: Eukaryota; Metazoa; Chordata; Mammalia; Afrosoricida; Tenrecidae. The record is from RNAcentral.
AUCUAUGGUCAGGCACCCUAAACAGGCCUCAUCUAUUGUGAUCUCAGAUGCUAAGGAGGGUCUGGCCUUGUUUGUUAGUACUUGAAUGCAAGACCAUGGGGGAUACCAGUUGCUGUAGGCU